CCUACGAGAGGCAGCAGUGAGGAAUAUUGGUCCAUGGACGAGAGUCUGAUGGAGCAACGCCGCGUGAGUGAAGAAGGGUUUCGGCUCGUAACGCUCUGUUGGUAGUGAAGAAAGAUAGAGGUAGUAACUGGCCUUUAUUUGACGGUAAUUACUUAGAAAGUCACGGCUAACUACGUGCCAGCAGCCGCGGUAAUACGUAGGUGGCAAGCGUUGUCCGGAUUUAUUGGGCGUAAAGCGAGUGCAGGCGGUUCAAUAAGUCUGAUGUGAAAGCCUUCGGCUCAACCGGAGAAUUGCAUCAGAAACUGUGGAACUUGAGUGGAGAAGAGGAGAGUGGAACUCCAGGUGUAGCGGUGGAAUGCGUAGAUAUAUGGAAGAACACCAGUGGCGAAGGCGGCUCUCUGGUCUGCAACUGACGCUGAGGCUCGAAAGCAUGGGUAGCGAACAGGAUUAGAUACCCGGGUAGUC
Molecule: ribosomal RNA, 465 nt
Filed under: uncultured bacterium
Lineage: Bacteria
Description: partial 16S ribosomal RNA
Rfam family: Bacterial small subunit ribosomal RNA
Source: RNAcentral